UGAGAAAGUAAGGGUUUUUGGUUCAGAUUAAGUGAGUGAAAUGAGAGAAUAGAUAGAUAUGUAUUUAAUAUGGAGAGGAAGAGUUGGAUCAAGAGAAGUUGGAAGAAAAGGAAAAUUGGACCUAAGAAGAAUAAAGAAGAUUGAGUGAGAAAUAAUAGAAGAAGAAUAGAGAAGAUGGAGUGAGAAGCAAUAGUGAAGGUGGAGCAAGAAACAAUAGAGAAGAAGGAUGAUGCAGAGAGGCGGAAGUUACUUGGUUUUGUGUAUAGAAAAACCCUACCAUUGAAGUUUUCUUCUUCCUCUUGUAUAUAGGUUUUCUAUUCUAAAGCAAUGUUGACUUUUUUUUUUAAGUUUUUUUUUUUAAUUUG
This 365-nucleotide unclassified non-coding RNA is filed under the name Hevea brasiliensis (rubber tree). Lineage: Eukaryota; Viridiplantae; Streptophyta; Magnoliopsida; Malpighiales; Euphorbiaceae. The record is from RNAcentral.